UGAGGAAUAUUGGUCAAUGGACGCGAGUCUGAACCAACCAAGUAGCGUGAAGGAUGACUGCCCUAUGGGUUGUAAACUUCUUUUAUAUGGGAAUAAAGUGGUCCACGUGUGGAUUUUUGUAUGUACCAUAUGAAAUAAGGAUCGGCUAACUCCGUGCCAGCAGCCCGCGGUAAUACGGAGGAUGCGAGCGUUAUCCGGAUUUAUUGGGUUUAAAGGGAGCGUAGGCGGAUUGUUAAGUCAGUUGUGAAAGUUUGCGGCUCAACCGUAAAAUUGCAGUUGAUACUGGCAGUCUUGAGUGCAGUAGAGGUGGGCGGAAUUCGUGGUGUAGCGGUGAAAUGCUUAGAUAUCACGAAGAACUCCGAUUGCGAAGGCAGCUCACUGGAGUGUAACUGACGCUGAUGCUCGAAAGUGUGGGUAUCAAACAGGAUUAGAUACCCUGGUAGUCCACACAGUAAACGAUGAAUACUCGCUGUUUGCGAUAUACAGUAAGCGGCCAAGCGAAAGCAUUAAGUAUUCCACCUGGGGAGUACGCCGGCAACGGUGAAACUCAAAGGAAUUGACGGGGGCCCGCACAAGCGGAGGAACAUGUGGUUUAAUUCGAUGAUACGCGAGGAACCUUACCCGGGCUUAAAUUGCAAAUGAAUUAUGGGGAAACCCAUACGCCGCAAGGCAUUUGUGAAGGUGCUGCAUGGUUGUCGUCAGCUCGUGCCGUGAGGUGUCGGCUUAAGUGCCAUAACGAGCGCAACCCUUAUCUUCAGUUACUAACAGGUCAUGCUGAGGACUCUGGAGAGACUGCCGUCGUAAGAUGUGAGGAAGGUGGGGAUGACGUCAAAUCAGCACGGCCCUUACGUCCGGGGCUACACACGUGUUACAAUGGGGGGUACAGAAGGCCGCUACCUGGUGACAGGAUGCCAAUCCCAAAAACCUCUCUCAGUUCGGACUGAAGUCUGCAACCCGACUCCACGAAGCUGGAUUCGCUAGUAAUCGCGCAUCAGCCACGGCGCGGUGAAUACGUUCCC
This 1019-nucleotide ribosomal RNA is filed under the name uncultured bacterium. RNAcentral describes it as "bacterial SSU rRNA". It matches the Rfam family "Bacterial small subunit ribosomal RNA", at positions 355 to 1375 of the family's 1533-position model. The record is from RNAcentral.